GUCUGCAGCCUACAAACGUGGAUCUGCCGACACUGUGCUGUCGACGACAUGUCCCGCAAGGCAUCUUGCGUGAAAGCAAGGAACGCUUUUUUUUAGAAAGGAAGCUUCUUCCCCAAAAUUUAAAAAAUUUAAAAUUAUUCCUUCUGAAAAUAUCAUCGCGCUCUUGACCUCGAAGCUGACGGCUGAAUGCGAUUAGGAAAGAAGAUUCCUGAAGAUGCACCAGACUGAUUCUGGCAAGCCGUCUGUCGUCUGGAUAUGCACUGUUGUUCGUUAUGGUCAGCAAUCUUCUUCGUUCGUCCUUUCGUUUUCCUGACCACGAUGAUGACAAGCAGCUCUCAUGCUCAGGAUUCUGAAAGCUGGAGCAGCUCUGCUUACCUCGACCACUGAACUUACAAC
Molecule: long non-coding RNA, 396 nt
Organism: Sycon ciliatum
Lineage: Eukaryota; Metazoa; Porifera; Calcarea; Leucosolenida; Sycettidae
Exons: 2
Source: RefSeq, a predicted model, not a curated record